GACGUAGGGGGCCAGCGUUGUUCGGAAUUACUGGGUGUAAAGGGUUCGUAGGCGGUGUGGCAAGUCGGGAGUGAAAUCUCUGGGCUCAACCCAGAGUCUGCUUCCGAAACUGCUGUGCUUGAGUGUGGGAGAGGCGCGUGGAAUUGCAGGUGUAGCGGUGAAAUGCGUAGAUAUCUGCAGGAACACCCGUGGCGAAGGCGACAUCCUGGACCGGUAUUGACGCUGAGGCGCGAAAGCCAGGGGAGCAAACGGG
Molecule: ribosomal RNA, 253 nt
Filed under: uncultured bacterium
Lineage: Bacteria
Description: partial 16S ribosomal RNA
Rfam family: Bacterial small subunit ribosomal RNA
Source: RNAcentral